This 360-nucleotide ribosomal RNA is filed under the name uncultured bacterium. RNAcentral describes it as "partial 16S ribosomal RNA". It matches the Rfam family "Bacterial small subunit ribosomal RNA", at positions 338 to 696 of the family's 1533-position model. The record is from RNAcentral.
CCUACGGGAGGCAGCAGUGAGGAAUAUUGGUCAAUGGCCGGAAGGCUGAACCAGCCAAGUCGCGUGAGGGACGACUGCCCUAUGGGUUGUAAACCUCUUUUAUAAGGGCAGAAUAAAUGCUACGUGUAGCAUGAUGCCUGUACCUUAUGAAUACGCAUCGGCUAACUCCGUGCCAUCAGCCGCGGUAAUACGGAGGAUGCGAGCGUUAUCGGGAUUUAUUGGGUUUAAAGGGUGGGUGGGCGGUUUAUUAAGUUAGUGGUUAAACGCCGGGGAUUCACCUUGAGUUGCCACGAAGACUGUAAGACUCGAGUUCAGACGAGGUAAGGGAAAUAAGUUAAGUAGAGGUGAAAUGCUUAGAUA